CAUCCCACUAUAUUGUUCGCCAGAGUACUACAAGCGCUAGCUUAAAACCCAAAGGACUUGGCGGUAUCCCAUACCCACCUAGAGGAGCCUGUUCUAUAACCGAUAAUCCUCGUUCAACCUCACCACUUCUUGCCAUUACCGUCUAUAUACCGCCGUCGUCAGCUCACCCUGUGAAGGAUCAAAAGUAAGCAAAAAGAAUUUAACUUCAAAACGUCAGGUCGAGGUGUAGCAAAUGAAGUGGGAAGAAAUGGGCUACAUUUUUUUCCAAAAAUACACGAAUGGUAAACUGAAAACACACCUAAAGGUGGAUUUAGCAGUAAGAGGAGAUCAGAAUACUCCUCUGAAAUUGGCUCUGGGAUAAGCACACACCGCCCGUCACUCUCCUCAAAAACAACUCACUAUUUUCCAUAAAUAUAUUUCUUCAACAAGAGGAGGCAAGUCGUAACAUGGUAAGUGUACUGGAAAGUGCACUUGGAAUC
Molecule: ribosomal RNA, 479 nt
Filed under: Carcharhinus leucas (bull shark)
Lineage: Eukaryota; Metazoa; Chordata; Chondrichthyes; Carcharhiniformes; Carcharhinidae
Description: partial 12S ribosomal RNA
Rfam family: Bacterial small subunit ribosomal RNA
Source: RNAcentral